This is an unclassified non-coding RNA of Gorilla gorilla gorilla (western lowland gorilla), 88 nucleotides long. It matches the Rfam family "Y RNA". Rfam says of the family: Y RNAs are components of the Ro ribonucleoprotein particle (Ro RNP), in association with Ro60 and La proteins. The Y RNAs and Ro60 and La proteins are well conserved, but the function of the Ro RNP is not known. NCBI's taxonomy places the organism in Eukaryota, Metazoa, Chordata, Mammalia, Primates, Hominidae. The record is from Ensembl.
GGAAGUCUGUAAAAGUUUGUGUAAAUACAAGCAGUUACAGAUUUUUUUGUUCUCCUCCAUUCCCACUGCUUUACUUGACUAGCCUAAA